GCCCAACCCCGGGACUGCUCUGGAAACUGCCUGGCUGAAGUACAGGAGGGGCAGGCGGAAUUCCUGGUGUAGCGGUGAAAUGCGUAGAUAUCAGGAGGAACACCGGCGGCGAAGGCGGCCUGCUGGACUGAAACUGACGUUGAGGCUCGAAAGCGUGGGGAGCAAACAG
This 169-nucleotide ribosomal RNA is filed under the name uncultured bacterium. RNAcentral's name for it is "partial 16S ribosomal RNA". It matches the Rfam family "Bacterial small subunit ribosomal RNA", at positions 607 to 775 of the family's 1533-position model. The record is from RNAcentral.